This 427-nucleotide ribosomal RNA is filed under the name uncultured bacterium. Its description in RNAcentral is "partial 16S ribosomal RNA". It matches the Rfam family "Bacterial small subunit ribosomal RNA", at positions 355 to 774 of the family's 1533-position model. The record is from RNAcentral.
UGGGGAAUAUUGCACAAUGGGCGCAAGCCUGAUGCAGCCAUGCCGCGUGUAUGAAGAAGGCCUUCGGGUUGUAAAGUACUUUCAGCGGGGAGGAAGGCGAUAAGGUUAAUAACCUUGUCGAUUGACGUUACCCGCAGAAGAAGCACCGGCUAACUCCGUGCCAGCGGCCGCGGUAAUACGGAGGGUGCAAGCGUUAAUCGGAAUUACUGGGCGUAAAGCGCACGCAGGCGGUCUGUCAAGUCGGAUGUGAAAUCCCCGGGCUCAACCUGGGAACUGCAUUCGAAACUGGCAGGCUAGAGUCUUGUAGAGGGGGGUAGAAUUCCAGGUGUAGCGGUGAAAUGCGUAGAGAUCUGGAGGAAUACCGGUGGCGAAGGCGGCCCCCUGGACAAAGACUGACGCUCAGGUGCGAAAGCGUGGGGAGCAAACA